Misgurnus anguillicaudatus (oriental weatherfish) is the source of this 548-nucleotide non-coding RNA. The record is from RefSeq and is a predicted model, not a curated record. Lineage: Eukaryota; Metazoa; Chordata; Actinopteri; Cypriniformes; Cobitidae.
GUCGGAGCAGACCACAGGUGUCGUGAGUCACGCCCCUUCCUAGUUUCCACCUUGAGGAGGUCCCAAGAGCACCCAAAUGACCAGACACACAGAGAGCGCAGCUGUUGGAUACUCUUCCUGCCAUCAGCAAUCUAUCGCUGGAAAUCCUCCUUCGGCGACACUUCCGGAUUCCACCCAACAUGAGGGAUAUUGUGUACUGCACAGGCGUCUCUCUGAUGGAUGGAGGGAGAUGUGUGGGAGUUUAUCUGGAUGAAGUUUCACUCCUCCACUGUUGCUGCCGUCUCUGAAAAGAAGAUUCUUCUGGAGGCCUUGACCUGCAGUGACAUCUUCCUGCUCAACAGCUCUGUGUUGCUGGAGACGCUGCAGUUCACGUGCAGCCCAUGCACUGCCACUACCCCACUAGCAGGGUGCUGGAAGCCUGCUCUGGUAAGUUUUAAACUUUCAAAGUAUCUUUGAAAAUGUUAAUCUUGCUUAUAUAUAGAGUAGUAUUUCAUCAUUCAUAUGUCCAAAGAGUCUUUCGUUUAGUCAGAUUUAUAAAAGAAAAAACA